Molecule: ribosomal RNA, 253 nt
Filed under: uncultured bacterium
Lineage: Bacteria
Description: partial 16S ribosomal RNA
Rfam family: Bacterial small subunit ribosomal RNA
Source: RNAcentral
UACGGAGGGUGCAAGCGUUAAUCGGAAUUACUGGGCGUAAAGUGUGCGCAGGCGGCCGCGCAAGUCGAGUGUGAAAGCCCCGGGCUUAACUUGGGAAUUGCGCUCGAAACUACGUGGCUGGAGUGUGGCAGAGGAAGGUGGAAUUCCACGUGUAGCGGUGAAAUGCGUAGAGAUGUGGAGGAACACCAAUGGCGAAGGCAGCCUUCUGGGCCAACACUGACGCUCAUGCACGAAAGCGUGGGGAGCAAACAGG